GAUUCCCUGAGUAACGGCGAGCGAAAAGGGAAGAGCCCAGCGCCGAAUCCCCCGCUCGCGAGGGCGUGGGGAAAUGUGGCGUUUGGGAGUGAGCGUGCCGGUGGUCGACUCUGCAGCAAGUCCCCCUGACCGGGGCUGUUACCCACAGUGGGUGCGAGGCCCAUAGCUGCUAGGUCGCCUCCGGAUGCAAACUCCUUGGAGUCGGGUUGCUUGGGAGUGCAGCCCUAAUCGGGUGGUAAACUCCACCUAAGGCUAAAUACUGCCGUGAGACCGAUAGCAAACAAGUACCGUGAGGGAAAGUUGCAAAGAACUUUGAAGAGAGAGUUCAAGAGUACGUGAAACUGCUCAGAGGUAAACGGGUGGGCCCUCGAAAUCCUGUGGCGGGAGUAUUCAGUCGGGACGAGCGGGGCGGGGAUCGGAAUGAACCGAGAAGGUUCCCGCGACGGGGCCGUUCUGGUCCCCGAUCCCUGUCGGCCCGACGCAUUUGUUUCCCGCCCGAAGGACGCCGCAACCGGUUGGGGGACGGCCAUAAGGGCGAGAGCCGGCAGGUGGCCGGUGGCUUUUUAAAUGUGGAGUCGCCGGUUGUUAGCCAUCUCGUCGCACGGCACGACCCCCGACCGAGGAAAGAGAGAGGCCCCUGAAUGGGCUUCGUCGUCUCCUCCUGUAAAAGGCUGCGGGCAAGAAGCGUGACAGGAGACUCGAUGCCCUGCGGGCGCACGGACUGACUCCGUGGCCCAGCGUCGCGUCGUCUUCGUUGGUUGCGCAAGGCCCUCUGGAGUGAUUGACGGUUGGCGGCGAGUAGAUCGGUCACCCACCCGACCCGUCUUGAAACACGGACCAAGGAGUCUAACAUGUAUGCGAGUCCCAGGGUCUUGAACAGGCCCGGAGGCGCAAUGAAAGCAAAGGCCGGGGGACCCCGGGCCGUGUUGGGAUCCCCUCUCCUCAGCGGGAGGGGCGCACCAACGACCCGUCCUGUUCCACUUGUGGAUGGGGCGGAGUCUGAGCAUACACGUUGGGACCCGAAAGAUGGUGAACUAUGCCCGGGCAGGACGAGGCCAGAGGAAACUCUGGUGGAGGUCCGUAGCGGUUCUGACGUGCAAAUCGAUCGUCAGAUCCGGGUCUAGGGGCGAAAGACUAAUCGAACCAUCUAGUAGCUGGUUCCCUCCGAAGUUUCCCUCAGGAUAGCUGGCGCUCGAGGAAUUCAGUCUCAUCCGGUAAAGCGAAUGAUUAGAGGCCUUGGGGCCGAAACGACCUCAACCUAUUCUCAAACUUUAAAUGGGUGAGAAGUCCGCCUUGCAUGACUGAAGGCCGGACUAUGGAUGAGAGUGCCCAGUGGGCCACUUUUGGUAAGCAGAACUGGCGCUGUGGGAUGAACCAAACGCCGGGUUAAGGCGUCCGAUGCGAGACGCUCAUGAGACCCCAUGAAAGGUGUUGGUUGCUCCAGACAGCAGGACGGUGGUCAUGGAAGUUGAAAUCCGCUAAGGAGUGUGUAACAACUCACCUGCCGAAGCAACUAGCCCUGAAAAUGGAUGACGCUCCAGCGUCGAGCCUAUACCCGGCCGCUGCGGCAGAAGGUCAAUAUGCGUUUAUGUCUCACUGAGUAUGAGGGUCUCGCGGCGAGAGUUUAAAGUGCCCGGCG
This 1639-nucleotide ribosomal RNA is filed under the name Labulla thoracica. RNAcentral describes it as "eukaryotic LSU rRNA". It matches the Rfam family "Eukaryotic large subunit ribosomal RNA", at positions 73 to 1417 of the family's 3401-position model. Lineage: Eukaryota; Metazoa; Arthropoda; Arachnida; Araneae; Linyphiidae. The record is from RNAcentral.